This 800-nucleotide ribosomal RNA is filed under the name uncultured bacterium. RNAcentral's name for it is "bacterial SSU rRNA". It matches the Rfam family "Bacterial small subunit ribosomal RNA", at positions 10 to 848 of the family's 1533-position model. The record is from RNAcentral.
AGUUGUAUCCUGGCUCAGGAUGAACGCUGGCGGUAUGCCUAACACAUGCAAGUCGUACGAGAGUUUUUAACUCAAGUGGCGGACGGGUGAGUAACACGUGAGAAUUUGCCUUCAGGAGGGGGACAACAACUGGAAACGGUUGCUAAUACCCCAUAUGCUUUCGAGUGAAAUGAAUUUAUUCGCCUGAAGAGAAGCUCGCGGCUGAUUAGCUUGUUGGUAGAGUAAUAGCCUACCAAGGCGACGAUCAGUAUCUGGUUUGAGAGGACGACCAGACACACUGGAACUGAGACACGGUCCAGACUCCUACGGGAGGCAGCAGUGGGGAAUUUUCCGCAAUGGGCGAAAGCCUGACGGAGCAAUACCGCGUGAGGGAAGACGGCCUAUGGGUUGUAAACCUCUUUUUUCAGGGAGGAAUCAAUGACGUGUACCUGAAGAAUAAGCAUCGGCUAACUCCGUGCCAGCAGCCGCGGUAAGACGGAGGAUGCAAGUGUUAUCCGGAAUCACUGGGCGUAAAGCGUCUGUAGGUGGUUGAACAAGUCAACUGUUAAAUCUUGAGGCUUAACUUCAAAAUCGCAGUCGAAACUGUUUGACUAGAGUAUAGUAGGGGUAAAGGGAAUUUCCAGUGGAGUGGUGAAAUGCGUAGAUAUUGGAAAGAACACCGAUGGCGAAGGCACUUUACUGGGCUAUUACUGACACUCANAGACGAAAGCUAGGGUAGCAAAUGGGAUUAGAUACCCCAGUAGUCCUGGCCGUAAACAAUGGGAUACUANAUGUUGAACAGAUCGACCUGUGCAGUAUCA